GCAGCAGUGGGGAUAUUGCACAAUGGGGGAAACCCUGAUGCAGCGACGCAGCGUGCGGGAUGACGGCCUUCGGGUUGUAAACCGCUUUCAGCAGGGAAGAAGCGAAAGUGACGGUACCUGCAGAAGAAGUACCGGCUAACUACGUGCCAGCAGCCGCGGUAAUACGUAGGGUACGAGCGUUGUCCGGAAUUAUUGGGCGUAAAGAGCUCGUAGGUGGUUGGUCACGUCUGCUGUGGAAACGCAACGCUUAACGUUGCGCGGGCAGUGGGUACGGGCUGACUAGAGUGCAGUAGGGGAGUCUGGAAUUCCUGGUGUAGCGGUGAAAUGCGCAGAUAUCAGGAGGAACACCGGUGGCGAAGGCGGGACUCUGGGCUGUAACUGACACUGAGGAGCGAAAGCAUGGGGAGCGAACAGGAUUAGAUACCCUGGUAGUCCAUGCCGUAAACGUUGGGCACUAGGUGUGGGGGACAUUCCACGUUCUCCGCGCCGUAGCUAACGCAUUAAGUGCCCCGCCUGGGGAGUACGGUCGCAAGGCUAAAACUCAAAGGAAUUGACGGGGCCCCC
Molecule: ribosomal RNA, 564 nt
Filed under: Brevibacterium sp.
Lineage: Bacteria; Bacillati; Actinomycetota; Actinomycetes; Micrococcales; Brevibacteriaceae
Description: bacterial SSU rRNA
Rfam family: Bacterial small subunit ribosomal RNA
Source: RNAcentral